This 262-nucleotide ribosomal RNA is filed under the name uncultured bacterium. Its description in RNAcentral is "partial 16S ribosomal RNA". It matches the Rfam family "Bacterial small subunit ribosomal RNA", at positions 515 to 776 of the family's 1533-position model. The record is from RNAcentral.
CCGCGGUAAUACGAAGGGGGCUAGCGUUGUUCGGAAUUACUGGGCGUAAAGCGCACGUAGGCGGAUAGUUAAGUCAGGGGUGAAAUCCCGGAGCCCAACUCCGGAACUGCCUUUGAUACUGGCUAUCUGGAGGAUGGAAGAGGCAAGUGGAAUUCCGAGUGUAGAGGUGAAAUUCGUAGAUAUUCGGAGGAACACCAGUGGCGAAGGCGACUUGCUGGUCCAUUUCUGACGCUGAGGUGCGAAAGCGUGGGGAGCAAACAGG